GUCUAUGGCCAUACCACCCUGAACUCGCCCGAUCUCGUCAGAUCUCGGAAGCAAAGCGGGGUUGAGCCUGGUUAGUACUUGGAUGGGAGACCGUCUGGGAAUACUGGGUGCCGUAGGCU
Molecule: ribosomal RNA, 119 nt
Filed under: Aotus nancymaae (Ma's night monkey)
Lineage: Eukaryota; Metazoa; Chordata; Mammalia; Primates; Aotidae
Source: RNAcentral